GGUUUGAUCAUGGCUCAGAUUGAACGCUGGCGGGAUGGCUUUACACAUGCAAGUCGAACGGCAGCACGGACUUCGGUCUGGUGGCGAGUGGCGAACGGGUGAAGGUAAUGUAUCAGAACGUGCCUAGUAGCGGGGGAUAACUACGCGAAAGCGUAGCUAAUACCGCAUACGCCCUUCCGGGGAAAGCGGGGACCUUCGGGCCUCGCACUAUUUAGAGCGGCCGAUAUCGGAUUAGCUAGUUGAGGUGGGGUAACGCGGCUCACCAAGGCGACGAUCCGUAGCUGGUUUUGAGAGGACGACCAGCCACACUGGGACUGAGACACGGCCCAGACUCCUACGGGAGGCAGCAGUGGGGAAUUUUGGACAAUGGGGAAACCCUGAUCCAGCCAUCCGCGUGUGCGUGAGGCGCUCCGGAGUUUAGCAAAGCACUUUUGGCGGAAAACGGCGCGGGAUAAUACCCCCGUGCAACUGACAGUACCUGCAGAAUAAGCACCGGCUAACUGUAUGCCACAGCAGCCGCGGUAAUACGUAGGGUGCAAGCGUUAAUCGGAAUUGCUGGGCGUAAAGCGUGCGCGGGCGGUUCGGAAAGAAAGAUGUGAAAUCCCAGGCUUAACUUUGGAACUGCAUUUUUUAACUACCAAACUGAGAGUGUGUCAGAGGGAGGUGGAAUUCCCGUGUAGCGGUGAAAUGCGUAGAUAUGCGGAGGAACACCGAUGGCGAAGGCGCAGCCUCCUGGGAUAACACUGACGCUCAUGCACGAAAGCAGAGCCGACAGGAUUAGAUACCUGGUAGUCCACGCCCUAAGCGAUGUCAACUAGCUGUUGGGGCCUUCAGACCUUGGCAACUAACGCGUGAAGUUGAUGCCUGGGAGUACGGUCGCAAGAUUAAAACUCAAAGGAAUUGACGGGGACCCGCACAAGCGGUGGAUGAUGUGGAUCCAAUUCGAUGCAACGCGAAAAACCUUACCUACCCUUGACAUGUCUGGAAUCGAAGAGAUUUGGGAGUGCUCGCAGAACCGGAACACAGGUGCUGCAUGGCUGUCGUCAGCUCGUGUCGUGAGAUGUUGGGUUCAAGUCCCGCAACAGGCGCAGCCCUUGUCAUUAGUUGCUGAAGGGCACGCUCUAAUGAGACGUGCCGGUGACAAACCGGAGGAAGAGGUGAGAUGACGUCGAAGUCCUCAUGGCCCUUAUGGGUAGGGCUUCACACGUCAUACAAUGGUCGGGACAGAGGGUCGCCAACCCGCGAGGGGAGCCAAUCCCGAAACGAUCGUAGUCCGGAUCGAUGCAACUCGACUGCGUGAAGUCGGAGAUCGCUGGUAAUCGCGGAUCAGCAUGUCGCGAACGAAUCGUUCCGGUGUACCGCACGCCCGUCACACCAUGGGAAUUGGGUUUUACCAGAAGUAGGAUUAGCCUAACCGUAAGGAGGCGAUUACCACGGUAGGAUUCAUGACUGGGGUGAAGUCGUAACAAGGUAG
Molecule: ribosomal RNA, 1474 nt
Filed under: uncultured Bordetella sp.
Lineage: Bacteria; Pseudomonadati; Pseudomonadota; Betaproteobacteria; Burkholderiales; Alcaligenaceae
Description: partial 16S-23S ribosomal RNA intergenic spacer
Rfam family: Bacterial small subunit ribosomal RNA
Source: RNAcentral